Molecule: ribosomal RNA, 416 nt
Filed under: uncultured bacterium
Lineage: Bacteria
Description: bacterial SSU rRNA
Rfam family: Bacterial small subunit ribosomal RNA
Source: RNAcentral
GAGGAAUAUUGGUCAAUGGGCGCAAGCCUGAACCAGCCAUCCCGCGUGAAGGAAGAAUGCGCUACGCGUUGUAAACUUCUUUUCCAGGGGGAGAAUUUUCCUGUCGAGACAGGGAUUGACGGUACCCUGGGAAUAAGCAUCGGCUAACUCCGUGCCAGCAGCCGCGGUAAUACGGAGGAUGCGAGCGUUAUCUGGAUUUAUUGGGUUUAAAGGGUGCGUAGGCGGAUUGAUAAGUCAGUGGUGAAAUUCUGCAGCUUAACUGUAGACUUGCCGUUGAUACUGUUAGUCUUGAGUGUGGUCAAGGCAGGCGGAAUGUGUAAUGUAGUGGUGAAAUGCUUAGAUAUUACACAGAACACCGAUUGCGAAGGCAGCUUGCUGGGUCAUUACUGACGCUGAUGCACGAAAGCGUGGGGAUC